AGAUGCUCCAGGCCCUUUAUCAUCUUUGUGACCCUCUGCUGGACUCCUUCUAGGAGAUCCCUGUUGGUUUUGAACUGGGGAGCCCAAAACUGAACACAGUAAUCUAAACGUGGCCUUACCAGUGCAAAGUAGAGGGGAAAGAUCGUCUCACUCUACCUGCUGGCCACAUUCUAUUUAAUGCACCUAGCAGAAGGGUGCAUUUUUAAGUCCACCAGUAGAAGGGAGAAAGAAAGCAAUAGGCAUCUGUUAAUCCCUCUUUUUUCUUGCUUUUUUUUCCUUCCCUUUUAUGUUUCUCUUUUUCUUUUCCAUUUCCCUUUCCUUUUUUUUUAAAAAAGCACAAAUAAAUUCAUGAAAUGACACUUCUCGACGUACAAACAGAUAUAAAAAUAUCAUCUGAUACCUCUUUGCGCUGUUCUCACAAUCAUAGAGUAGCCAUCAGUAGCUUUGGUUUUGGUAAUAAAUAAAUAAAUAAAUAAAUAAAUAAAAAAUCUGCAGGACUGUCGUACAAAUACUAGUGAUGGGGGAUGGAGGGGAGAUAUUCUGGCCAUCAGUGACCUUUCCCUUCCAUUUCCCCCCCUUAUUUUCUCCUUUUCUGUUCUCCUUUCUCUUUUUCUUCCCUAUUUAAUUUUCAUUUUGUCUUUCUUCCCCCUUUCCUUCCCUCUUUUUUCUUGCUCUUUUUUUUUACUUCCCCUUUAUGUUUCCCUUUCCCUUUAUUUCCCUUUCCCUUUAUUUCCCUUCCCUUUUUCUUUUCUCUUUUUCUAUUCUUUUCUUUGGGGAAGCUGUAUUUAUGUUGUAUUUACUUUGGUAUUAUCUUACCUUUUUAGAGGAGUUGUGCUGCUUCUGCUUCUUCAAAAAGGAACAGGGGAGCUCUACAGUAGAAGCCUGAAGAGGUGUUGUGCCUGCUUCUGCUGGCUUCAAAAAGGAACAGGGAGCUCUACAGUAGAAGCCUGAAGUUGAGGUGGGGUGGCCUGUCUGCCUGUACUCCUUCCUUCCCUCCUGGGAAAGUUCACCACAUGAGGUUUUGAUAGGCUUCCAUAAUGUAUGGGUAUGGAAAGCUGCAACUACUCUGCAGAUGACUGGUAUAUACUUAACAUUUGAAAUCUCAAUAAAAUUUUCUGCUUGUUGAGUUAUUGUCUGGCA
This 1140-nucleotide long non-coding RNA is filed under the name Coturnix japonica (Japanese quail). Its description in RNAcentral is "lncRNA (ENSCJPG00005000463.1)". The record is from RNAcentral. Lineage: Eukaryota; Metazoa; Chordata; Aves; Galliformes; Phasianidae.